CUGUUAUAUAGGAAAUAUUUCAAUCAUUUCCGUUCCUGAAGAAGUGCGUGGCCAAAUAAGGCAUUAAAAAAUAUGGAAAUUUUGAAGUUUCAAAAAAUGGGUUCACAGAAUGUCAUAAAAACAAAUUCAGGAAAGUCGAGUAGACUAUUGCGUAACGUUCCAGUUUUAAAAUCGGAUGCAGACUUGCAUAAGAAAUGAAUGCCGACCAUUAUUUCUGGGUGAUAUUAAUAGUAGGAUACAAGUUCUGAAAGCAUGCAUAAAUAAAACAAAUUCUGAUUGGCAUAAGUAUAUGAUGAUAUAUAUCUGAGAGCUCUUUGGAAAAAGUGUCUGAAGUAUCCCCUGACUCUCAUCUGCCCCCAUCGCCCCUCUCUCCCACUGGAAUCAAUCGAAACGAACAACCUGCCCGGAUUUUGUCUACAUUGCAUAAUCAAGUCAGCUAGAACUUUGUAGCAAAUACGUGUAGCUCAUUUAAAAAAUAAUAAUUUACUUUAAUUGGUUCACUUUGUUUAAUGUCUAAACCUUUGUAAUGCACAUACAUACAUGUACUUAAGACCAAAAAUGUUUUAGCCCAUAAGAAUUAAUUAAUUACCCGUGAUUUUAAAUGUGUUCAGUUAUCAAUCAAUCAAUCAAUCAAUCAAUAAUUUGGAUUAAUUAUUUUAUACGGUGACCAUUGACCAUAUCAAAAAUAUAAUUUGUUCCUUUUCUCUCAUACCUCAAAUGUGUAUAAGUAUUAACAAAAUAUUAUGUGCGUUUUAAUCCUUUAUUAUAACUUAAUUACCUAUUUAAUUAAUCUAUGUAGAUUAAUUAAUGGUAGUUUACCCUACCAUGUACCGCACCGUUUACAUUUAUCGUUAGAGAGAGCUUGUUUUUUGUGAUGUACUCUACUUUGUAAAAAUAGUAUGCAAAUUAUAUAUGUGUACACGCUUUAAAGAACAAUUAUAAAUAUAACUCUAAUCUAAUCAAGGGCAUAAUUUGCAUUUAUAACAUUCCCCGGGGAAAGCUUUCUAAUAAAAUAAAUCUGACAUUAACAUUUUGUGGACGAUCAACGAUGUAGAGUGUGUCAGACCUUGGGAUGUGAAA
Folsomia candida is the source of this 1080-nucleotide long non-coding RNA. RefSeq lists it as uncharacterized. The record is from RefSeq and is a predicted model, not a curated record. The transcript is spliced from 2 exons. Lineage: Eukaryota; Metazoa; Arthropoda; Collembola; Entomobryomorpha; Isotomidae.